GAUGAACGCUGGCGGCGUGCCUAAUACAUGCAAGUCGAGCGAACGGGCGAGAAGCUUGCUUCUCUGAUGUUAGCGGCGGACGGGUGAGUAACACGUGGAUAACCUACCUAUAAGACUGGGAUAACUUCGGGAAACCGGAGCUAAUACCGGAUGAUAUUUUGAACCGCAUGGUUCAAAAGUGAAAGACGGUCUUGCUGUCACUUAUAGAUGGAUCCGCGCUGCAUUAGCUAGUUGGUAAGGUAACGGCUUACCAAGGCAACGAUGCAUAGCCGACCUGAGAGGGUGAUCGGCCACACUGGAACUGAGACACGGUCCAGACUCCUACGGGAGGCAGCAGUAGGGAAUCUUCCGCAAUGGGCGAAAGCCUGACGGAGCAACGCCGCGUGAGUGAUGAAGGUCUUCGGAUCGUAAAACUCUGUUAUUAGGGAAGAACGUAUGUGUAAGUAACUGUGCACAUCUUGACGGUACCUAAUCAGAAAGCCACGGCUAACUACGUG
This 497-nucleotide ribosomal RNA is filed under the name uncultured bacterium. RNAcentral's name for it is "partial 16S ribosomal RNA". It matches the Rfam family "Bacterial small subunit ribosomal RNA", at positions 28 to 507 of the family's 1533-position model. The record is from RNAcentral.